AGAGUUUGAUCAUGGCUCAGGAUGAACGCUGGCGGCGUGCUUAACACAUGCAAGUCGAACGAAGCACUCUAUUCGAUUUCUUCGGAAUGAAAAUUUUGUGACUGAGUGGCGGACGGGUGAGUAACGCGUGGGCAACCUGCCUCAUACAGGGGGAUAACAGUUGGAAACGACUGCUAAUACCGCAUAAGCGCACAGUACCGCAUGGUACAGUGUGAAAAACUCCGGUGGUAUGAGAUGGGCCCGCGUCUGAUUAGCCAGUUGGCGGGGUAACGGCCCACCAAAGCGACGAUCAGUAGCCGACCUGAGAGGGUGACCGGCCACAUUGGGACUGAGACACGGCCCAAACUCCUACGGGAGGCAGCAGUGGGGAAUAUUGCACAAUGGGGGAAACCCUGAUGCAGCGACGCCGCGUGAGCGAAGAAGUAUUUCGGUAUGUAAAGCUCUAUCAGCAGGGAAGAAGAAUGACGGUACCUGACUAAGAAGCACCGGCUAAAUACGUGCCAGCAGCCGCGGUAAUACGUAUGGUGCAAGCGUUAUCCGGAUUUACUGGGUGUAAAGGGAGCGCAGGCGGAAGGCUAAGUCUGAUGUGAAAGCCCGGGGCUCAACCCCGGUACUGCAUUGGAAACUGGUCAUCUAGAGUGUCGGAGGGGUAAGUGGAAUUCCUAGUGUAGCGGUGAAAUGCGUAGAUAUUAGGAGGAACACCAGUGGCGAAGGCGGCUUACUGGACGAUUACUGACGCUGAGGCUCGAAAGCGUGGGGAGCAAACAGGAUUAGAUACCCUGGUAGUCCACGCCGUAAAC
Molecule: ribosomal RNA, 800 nt
Filed under: uncultured bacterium
Lineage: Bacteria
Description: bacterial SSU rRNA
Rfam family: Bacterial small subunit ribosomal RNA
Source: RNAcentral